UCCUUGUCUUGAUGACCUGCAACAGUUGU
RNAcentral lists this non-coding RNA (29 nucleotides) under Rattus norvegicus (Norway rat). The record is from RNAcentral. Lineage: Eukaryota; Metazoa; Chordata; Mammalia; Rodentia; Muridae.